This 253-nucleotide ribosomal RNA is filed under the name uncultured prokaryote. RNAcentral describes it as "partial 16S ribosomal RNA". It matches the Rfam family "Bacterial small subunit ribosomal RNA", at positions 525 to 777 of the family's 1533-position model. The record is from RNAcentral.
ACGUAGGACGCAAGCGUUAUCCGGAAUUACUGGGCGUAAAGCGCGUGUAGGUGGUUGUGUAAGUCACUGUUGAAAGCUCCCGGCUAAACUGGGAGAGGUGCGGUGAGACUGCAUGGCUAGAGUAUGGGAGAGGGAUGCAGAAUUCCGGGUGUAGUGGUGAAGUGCGUAGAGAUCCGGAGGAAUACCAGAGGCGAAGGCGGCAUCCUGGCCUAAAACUGACACUGAGACGCGAAAGCAUGGGGAGCGAACGGGA